GGAUGUGAGGGCGAUCUGGCUGCGACCUCUGUCACCCCAUUGAUCGCCAGGGUUGAUUCGGCUGAUCUGGCUGGCUAGGCGGGUGUCCCCUUCCUCCCUCACCGCUCCAUGUGCGUCCCUCCCGAAGCUGAGCGCUCAAUCAAAGACGAUGACCUUCCCUGAUAGAGGAGAGGACCGUUCCUCGGUCAAGGGAAUACAAGUAGCUGCGCUCCCCUGCUAGAACCUCCAAACAAGCUCUCAAAAACCUGCUGCCCAGAGCCCAUAGGCAGCUUUAU
Molecule: small nuclear RNA, 275 nt
Filed under: Neogale vison (American mink)
Lineage: Eukaryota; Metazoa; Chordata; Mammalia; Carnivora; Mustelidae
Description: Neovison vison (American mink) 7SK RNA (ENSNVIG00000022765.1)
Rfam family: 7SK RNA
About the family: 7SK was discovered as an abundant small nuclear RNA in the mid-70s but a possible function has only recently been suggested. Two independent studies have found that 7SK RNA binds the CDK9/cyclin T complex (known as elongation factor P-TEFb).
Source: RNAcentral